RNAcentral lists this ribosomal RNA (325 nucleotides) under uncultured eukaryote. RNAcentral describes it as "partial 18S ribosomal RNA". It matches the Rfam family "Eukaryotic small subunit ribosomal RNA", at positions 1470 to 1796 of the family's 1831-position model. The record is from RNAcentral.
CCCUUAGAUGUUCCGGGCCGCACGCGCGCUACACUGAUGCAUUCAACGAGCCUAUCCUUGACCGACAGGUCCGGGUAAUCUUUGAAUCUGCAUCGUGACGGGGAUAGAUUAUUGCAAUUAUUAAUCUUCAACGAGGAAUGCCUAGUAGGCGCAAGUCAUCAGCUUGCGUCGAUUACGUCCCUGCCCUUUGUACACACCGCCCGUCGCUCCUACCGAUUGGGUGUGCUGGUGAAAUGUUCGGAUCGGCCGUUUGUCGCGGUUUCCGCGGCUCGUGGCUGAGAAGUUCAUUAAACCCUCCCACCUAGAGGAAGGAGAAGUCGUAACA